This 70-nucleotide transfer RNA is filed under the name Macrostomum lignano. It matches the Rfam family "tRNA". Rfam says of the family: Transfer RNA (tRNA) molecules are approximately 80 nucleotides in length. Lineage: Eukaryota; Metazoa; Platyhelminthes; Macrostomidae. The record is from Rfam by way of RNAcentral.
GGGGUUGUAGCCUAGUGGUCGGAGCGUCGGAUUCACGACUUGAAGGUUGGGGGUUCGAUUCCCGAUCCCA